GGGGCUGGAGCUCAGUGGUUAAGAGCACUGACUGCUCUUCCAGAGGACCUGAGUUUGAUUCUCAGCACCCACG
RNAcentral lists this transfer RNA (73 nucleotides) under Mus musculus (house mouse). It matches the Rfam family "tRNA". From Rfam's summary of the family: Transfer RNA (tRNA) molecules are approximately 80 nucleotides in length. Their secondary structure includes four short double-helical elements and three loops (D, anti-codon, and T loops). The record is from Rfam by way of RNAcentral. Lineage: Eukaryota; Metazoa; Chordata; Mammalia; Rodentia; Muridae.